UUUCAUAUAUGAUAUGAAUGCAUGAAGGGGCCUAAGGUCAAUAUAGGUAAAAAGCCUUAGAUAUUCAAUCCACAGAGUUUUUAGCCUUUUAAAAUUGCACCUCCGCUAAAAAUUCAUGGGUCUGCUAGCUAGUACGUGUGGCCCUACCUAGUGAAAACCCACAUCUCCUCCAAUACUUGCAAAUCCAUUACCAAAAACUUUAAUAUAAUUAUUGAAACUAUCUUACCUUUUUUUUUUUUUACACAAACCUUAAAAAUAGUCUUUUUCACCUCUUCUUUCUUGGUGCAGACAACAAAAUUUAGAGGUAUUUAUUCAAAAACUCAUUUUAGCAUGACAUAUUAUACAAAAAC
This 350-nucleotide long non-coding RNA is filed under the name Prunus persica (peach). Its description in RNAcentral is "long non-coding RNA (PPER_LNC005843)". The record is from RNAcentral. Lineage: Eukaryota; Viridiplantae; Streptophyta; Magnoliopsida; Rosales; Rosaceae.